CAAUAGCGUAUAUUAAAGUUGUUGCAGUUAAAAAGCUCGUAGUUGGAUUUCUGGUGGGGCUGUCGGCCUGGCUCCGAAAGGGGUCGGUGCUUGAACACGCCUGGCCAUCCUCGGGGGAAGCUUUGCUGGCAUUAGGUUGUCGGCGGAGUGACGCUCGUCGUUUACUGUGAACAAAUUAGAGUGUUCAAAGCAGGCUUAGGCCGUUGAAUACAUUAGCAUGGAAUAAUGAGAUAGGACUUUGGUGGUCUAUUUUGUUGGUUUGCACGCCGAAGUAAUGAUUAAUAGGGGCGGUUGGGGGUAUUCGUAUUCAAUUGUCAGAGGUGAAAUUCUUGGAUUUAUGGAAGACGAACUACUGCGAAAGCAUUUACCAAGGAUGUUUUCAUUAA
This 386-nucleotide ribosomal RNA is filed under the name uncultured eukaryote. Its description in RNAcentral is "partial 18S ribosomal RNA". It matches the Rfam family "Eukaryotic small subunit ribosomal RNA", at positions 592 to 976 of the family's 1831-position model. The record is from RNAcentral.